RNAcentral lists this long non-coding RNA (847 nucleotides) under Solanum tuberosum (potato). RNAcentral's name for it is "long non-coding RNA (STUB_LNC011412)". Lineage: Eukaryota; Viridiplantae; Streptophyta; Magnoliopsida; Solanales; Solanaceae. The record is from RNAcentral.
UCAAACCAAAAGUAGAGUUUUAUGAAGUAGUACUACAAGAAAAAGAAAGUUUAUGACUUUUGGAUUUAGCAAAAUUUUCACAAGGUAAUUUUAUUGACAAAACCCAUGAUUUCUUAUUCGAAUGAAGACAAUAUUGUAACAUGGAAGAAAGUUUUUGAGCAUGUACAUCCAAGACGAUGAUGCCACGAGUACCAUAAUUUAUUUGAGUUAGUGAUGUCUCAUUUAGUGGCAGACAGAUAACAUGCAUGGUAAGGUGUUUCAGACAUGGACAACUGGAACAUUCUCCCAACUUUACGACCCUUGGCGAUCAUCUUCCCUGUCUCCAGAUUCUGAACAACACAACCAAGACGUGAGAAAACAACAAGGCAAUUUUGUUCCACUAGCUGUCCAACCGAAAUAAGAUUAACAGUAAGUUUAGGGGGAAAAAGGACAUUAGUGAAGCAAGAUAAUUUUUCAAUCUUAGAGGCAGGAAAAGUAUCACCAUUGGCUGUGAAAAUAAGAUGAUUUUCUGAUGGAAUUGAUAAAGAGUGUAAAUUAUGGAUAUCUCCUGUCAUAUGGUUAGACGCAGCCGAAUCUAUUUGCCAAACUUUUGAAUUCUUAUUUAAGUUCUUACCAGAAUAGGCAACAGUGAGAGAACUGGAAAUAGCCCCAGGGAGAGCAGCUACAACUGAAUCUUGUAUCAUCUUUUGAAGUGCUUUCGGAUCCAAAGAAGAUGUUGUGAUCUUUGCUUGACUCACAUAAGCUUCAGACGUUUGAUAAGCUUUGUGCUUUGUUUGACGCGUGUUUAGGCGUCAAUUGCACUCCAGAAUUAUAUGGUCAGGCCUCUUACAAUAAUUGCAUAUGUUUC